UACAGAGGGAGCUAGCGUUAUUCGGAAUUACUGGGCGUAAAGCGCACGUAGGCGGCUUUGUAAGUUAGAGGUGAAAGCCUGGAGCUCAACUCCAGAAUUGCCUUUAAGACUGCAUCGCUUGAAUCCAGGAGAGGUGAGUGGAAUUCCGAGUGUAGAGGUGAAAUUCGUAGAUAUUCGGAAGAACACCAGUGGCGAAGGCAGCUCGCUGGGACGGUACUGACGCUGAGACGCGAAAGCGUGGGGAGCAAACAGG
This 253-nucleotide ribosomal RNA is filed under the name uncultured bacterium. RNAcentral describes it as "partial 16S ribosomal RNA". It matches the Rfam family "Bacterial small subunit ribosomal RNA", at positions 524 to 776 of the family's 1533-position model. The record is from RNAcentral.